This 333-nucleotide ribosomal RNA is filed under the name uncultured bacterium. RNAcentral's name for it is "bacterial SSU rRNA". It matches the Rfam family "Bacterial small subunit ribosomal RNA", at positions 568 to 898 of the family's 1533-position model. The record is from RNAcentral.
AGUGUAGGCGGUUGAUUAAGUUAUGUGUGAAAGCCCUAGGCUCAACUUAGGAAUUGCACAUAAUACUGGUUAACUUGAGUGUGGGAGAGGAAAGCGGAAUUCCUAGUGUAGCGGUGGAAUGCGUAGAUAUUAGGAGGAACACCAGAGGCGAAGGCGGCUUUCUGGACCAUAACUGACGCUGAGGCUCGAAAGCGUGGGGAGCAAACAGGAUUAGAUACCCUGGUAGUCCACGCCCUAAACGAUGGAUGCUAGAUGUAGGCGGUAUCGACUCCGCCUGUGCCGUAAGCAAACGCGAUAAGCAUCCCGCCUGGGGAGUACGGCCGCAAGGUUGAA